Non-coding RNA from Lizonia empirigonia, 91 nucleotides. The record is from the annotation of a GenBank genome assembly. Lineage: Eukaryota; Fungi; Ascomycota; Dothideomycetes; Pseudoperisporiaceae.
GGCGUUGUGGCGGAGUGGUUAACGCGACAGACUUGAAUUCAUUUGAUAUCUGUUUCCUUCGGGAGCGUAGGUUCGAACCCUGCCAACGUCG